This 433-nucleotide ribosomal RNA is filed under the name uncultured bacterium. Its description in RNAcentral is "partial 16S ribosomal RNA". It matches the Rfam family "Bacterial small subunit ribosomal RNA", at positions 29 to 507 of the family's 1533-position model. The record is from RNAcentral.
AACGAACGCUGGCGGCAUGCCUAACACAUGCAAGUCGAACGAGACCUUCGGGUCUAGUGGCGCACGGGUGCGUAACGCGUGGGGACCUGCCCUUAGGUUCGGAAUAACUCCCCGAAAGGGGUGCUAAUACCGGAUAAUGUCUUCGGACCAAAGAUUUAUCGCCUUUGGAUGGGCCCGCGUUGGAUUAGCUAGUUGUUAGGGUAAAAGCCUACCAAGGCGACGAUCCAUAGCUGGUCUGAGAGGAUGAUCAGCCACACUGGGACUGAGACACGGCCCAGACUCCUACGGGAGGCAGCAGUGGGGAAUAUUGGACAAUGGGCGAAAGCCUGAUCCAGAAAUGCCGCGUGAGUGAUGAAGGCCUUAGGGUUGUAAAGCUCUUUUACCCGGGAUGAUAAUGACAGUACCGGGAGAAUAAGCUCCGGCUAACUCCGUG